Molecule: ribosomal RNA, 607 nt
Filed under: Flavobacterium sp. TWS-64
Lineage: Bacteria; Pseudomonadati; Bacteroidota; Flavobacteriia; Flavobacteriales; Flavobacteriaceae
Description: bacterial SSU rRNA
Rfam family: Bacterial small subunit ribosomal RNA
Source: RNAcentral
UAGGGGUAAAAAAAAGCUUGCUUCCUUGUUCCCGGCGCACGGGUGCGUAACGCGUAUGCAAUCUACCUUGUACACGCCGACCAACCAUUAGCCCAUUUGGAUUAAUACCCCAUAGUGUAAUGAAUAGGCAUCUAUUUAUUACUAAAGUUCCAACGGUACAAGAUGAGCAUGCGUCCCAUUAGCUAGUUGGUGUGGUAACGGCAUACCAAGGCAACGAUGGGUAGGGGUCCUGAGAGGGAGAUCCCCCACACUGGUACUGAGACACGGACCACACUCCUACGGGAGGCAGCAUUGAGGAAUAUUGGUCAAUGGGCGCAAGCCUGAACCAGCCAUGCCGCGUGCAAGAUGACGGUCCUAUGGAUUGUAAACUGCUUUUGUACAGGAAGAAACACUCCCUCGUGAGGGAGCUUGACGGUACUGUCAUAAUAAAGAUCGGCUAACUCCGUGCCAGCAGGCCGCGGUAAUACCGGAAGAUCCAAGCGUUAUCCGGAAAUCAUUGGGGUUUAAAGGGUCCGUAAGCGGUUUUAUAAGAUCAGUGGUGAAAUCUGGGUCCCCCACGUAUUAACGGCCUUUGAAACUGCAGAACUUGAAUAUUGGGGAAGGUACU